Molecule: ribosomal RNA, 491 nt
Filed under: uncultured bacterium
Lineage: Bacteria
Description: partial 16S ribosomal RNA
Rfam family: Bacterial small subunit ribosomal RNA
Source: RNAcentral
GAUGAACGCUGGCUACAGGCUUAACACAUGCAAGUCGAGGGGAAACGACGGGGAAGCUUGCUUCCCCGGGCGUCGACCGGCGCACGGGUGAGUAACGCGUAUCCAACCUGCCUCUGACUGAGGGAUAACCCGUCGAAAGUCGGCCUAAUACCUCAUGGUAUCGUCUGCGGGCAUCCAACGACGAUUAAAGAUUUCCUCGGUCAGGGAUGGGGGUGCGUCUGAUUAGCUUGUUGGCGGGGUAACGGCCCACCAAGGCUACGAUCAGUAGGGGUUCUGAGAGGAAGGUCCCCCACAUUGGAACUGAGACACGGUCCAAAAGCCUACGGGAGGCAGCAGUGAGGAAUAUUGGUCAAUGGGCGAGAGCCUGAACCAGCCAAGUAGCGUGCAGGAAGACGGCCCUAUGGGUUGUAAACUGCUUUUAUGCGGGGAUAAAGUGAGGGACGUGUCCCUCAUUGCAGGUACCGCAUGAAUAAGGACCGGCUAAUUCCGUG